This 769-nucleotide long non-coding RNA is filed under the name Homo sapiens (human). RNAcentral describes it as "HSALNT0071149". The record is from RNAcentral. Lineage: Eukaryota; Metazoa; Chordata; Mammalia; Primates; Hominidae.
UCUUGCCGCUGCACACUCUUUGGGUCUGCGUGUUUCUCUAACUGAGCGGUAACACUCGCCACUGUGGUCCACAGCUUCAUUCCUCCCGUGAGAUCACAAACCCUUCGAUCAAGAAAAACCUUCUAUCGGAAGAAGACUUCUCGUCUCAGGAUACUGUCUUAGUUCAAGCUGCUAGAACAAAAACAUCAUGGACAUGAUGACUUAAGCAACAGAAAUUUAUUUCUAACAGAUCUGGAGGCUGGUGAAAGAGGACACUGGAGGGGAUGCUGAAAAGAUCGGGAUCCAGGAGAAAGAAGGAGAAGUGGGAGCAGCAGAGGCCUGACAGACCCACAGAAUUGGACAGAGUGGCAGCUGUUCUCUGGGCAGGGCUGAGUGAAAAUGCCUGGAAAAGGAAGGGGGUGGAAGAAAUCCAAGGCCAUUUGUGCUGCUGGGAGUCGUCACCAGCGGGAGACCCAGCAGGCUGACUUCCCACUGCACUCUACAGGGAAACACAGAGAACAGGGGAAAGAGAGAAGGAAGAGAAGGCCCUGAAGUUAAACAGUGUGCAUUGCAAAGGGAUUUUCAUCAGGCAAAGGACUUUAGAUUUUAUCCUGUAAAGACUCACUGAAGAAUUUUAAGCAAAGGAGUGACACAAUCAGAUUGCCAGUUUAAAGAGUUAUCUGGAAUCAGUGUGGAGAAGAGUUUGGAGAAAGGGAAUAAAGAGGCAGGGAAAUCAGAGCUUCUGACAAAAACCUGAGGCUUGUGGAAGUGUAACAGAUAUAAAAUAAAU